ACGCUGGCGGGUGCCUAACAAUGCAAGUCGAACGAGAAAGCCCUUCGGGGUGAGUAGAGUGGCGCACGGGUGAGUAAUGCAUGGGAAUAUACCUUCAGGUGGGGAAUAACAGUUGGAAGCGACUGCUAAUACCGCAUAGUCUCUUCGGAGUAAACGAGGCCUCUUCUUGAAAGCUACGGCCUGAAGAUUAGCCCAUGUCGCAUUAGCUUGUUGGUGGGGUAAUGGCCCACCAAGGCUACGAUGCGUAGCUGGUCUGAGAGGAUGAUCAGCCACACUGGAACUGAGACACGGUCCAGACUCCUACGGGAGGCAGCAGUGGGGAAUAUUGCACAAUGGGCGCGAGCCUGAUGCAGCAACGCCGCGUGGGUGAAGAAGGCUCUUGGGUCGUAAAGCCCUUUCGUCAGUGAAGAAGGGCGUUUAGUCGAAUAGGCUGAACGUUUGACGGUAACUGAAUAAGAAGCACCGGCUAAUUUCGUGCCAGCAGCCGCGGUAAUACGAAAGGUGCAAGCGUUGUUCGGAAUAACUGGGCGUAAAGCGCUCGUAGGCGGGACUUCAGGUCGAUUGUGAAAGCCCAGGGCUCAACCUUGGAAUGGCAGUCGAAAACGUUGUUCUUGA
Molecule: ribosomal RNA, 615 nt
Filed under: uncultured bacterium
Lineage: Bacteria
Description: bacterial SSU rRNA
Rfam family: Bacterial small subunit ribosomal RNA
Source: RNAcentral